Molecule: ribosomal RNA, 1291 nt
Filed under: Escherichia coli
Lineage: Bacteria; Pseudomonadati; Pseudomonadota; Gammaproteobacteria; Enterobacterales; Enterobacteriaceae
Description: partial 23S ribosomal RNA
Rfam family: Bacterial large subunit ribosomal RNA
Source: RNAcentral
AACCGGGGGAACUGAAACAUCUAAGUACCCCGAGGAAAAGAAAUCAACCGAGAUUCCCCCAGUAGCGGCGAGCGAACGGGGAGCAGCCCAGAGCCUGAAUCAGUGUGUGUGUUAGUGGAAGCGUCUGGAAAGGCGCGCGAUACAGGGUGACAGCCCCGUACACAAAAAUGCACAUGCUGUGAGCUCGAUGAGUAGGGCGGGACACGUGGUAUCCUGUCUGAAUAUGGGGGGACCAUCCUCCAAGGCUAAAUACUCCUGACUGACCGAUAGUGAACCAGUACCGUGAGGGAAAGGCGAAAAGAACCCCGGCGAGGGGAGUGAAAAAGAACCUGAAACCGUGUACGUACAAGCAGUGGGAGCACGCUUAGGCGUGUGACUGCGUACCUUUUGUAUAAUGGGUCAGCGACUUAUAUUCUGUAGCAAGGUUAACCGAAUAGGGGAGCCGAAGGGAAACCGAGUCUUAACUGGGCGUUAAGUUGCAGGGUAUAGACCCGAAACCCGGUGAUCUAGCCAUGGGCAGGUUGAAGGUUGGGUAACACUAACUGGAGGACCGAACCGACUAAUGUUGAAAAAUUAGCGGAUGACUUGUGGCUGGGGGUGAAAGGCCAAUCAAACCGGGAGAUAGCUGGUUCUCCCCGAAAGCUAUUUAGGUAGCGCCUCGUGAAUUCAUCUCCGGGGGUAGAGCACUGUUUCGGCAAGGGGGUCAUCCCGACUUACCAACCCGAUGCAAACUGCGAAUACCGGAGAAUGUUAUCACGGGAGACACACGGCGGGUGCUAACGUCCGUCGUGAAGAGGGAAACAACCCAGACCGCCAGCUAAGGUCCCAAAGUCAUGGUUAAGUGGGAAACGAUGUGGGAAGGCCCAGACAGCCAGGAUGUUGGCUUAGAAGCAGCCAUCAUUUAAAGAAAGCGUAAUAGCUCACUGGUCGAGUCGGCCUGCGCGGAAGAUGUAACGGGGCUAAACCAUGCACCGAAGCUGCGGCAGCGACGCUUAUGCGUUGUUGGGUAGGGGAGCGUUCUGUAAGCCUGUGAAGGUGUGCUGUGAGGCAUGCUGGAGGUAUCAGAAGUGCGAAUGCUGACAUAAGUAACGAUAAAGCGGGUGAAAAGCCCGCUCGCCGGAAGACCAAGGGUUCCUGUCCAACGUUAAUCGGGGCAGGGUGAGUCGACCCCUAAGGCGAGGCCGAAAGGCGUAGUCGAUGGGAAACAGGUUAAUAUUCCUGUACUUGGUGUUACUGCGAAGGGGGGACGGAGAAGGCUAUGUUGGCCGGGCGACGGUUGUCCCGGUUUAAG